This is a transfer RNA of Jaapia argillacea, 107 nucleotides long. It matches the Rfam family "tRNA". Rfam says of the family: Transfer RNA (tRNA) molecules are approximately 80 nucleotides in length. Their secondary structure includes four short double-helical elements and three loops (D, anti-codon, and T loops). NCBI's taxonomy places the organism in Eukaryota, Fungi, Basidiomycota, Agaricomycetes, Jaapiales, Jaapiaceae. The record is from Rfam.
GGCCUGCUAGCUCAGUUGGUUAGAGCGUCGUGCUAAUAUGCUGUUAAGGGGGAUUCAACCCCUCAACCGUUACGCGAAGGUCCUGGGUUCGACCCCCAUGUGGGCCA